Molecule: ribosomal RNA, 406 nt
Filed under: uncultured bacterium
Lineage: Bacteria
Description: partial 16S ribosomal RNA
Rfam family: Bacterial small subunit ribosomal RNA
Source: RNAcentral
AUUGAACGCUGGCGGCAGGCCUAACACAUGCAAGUCGAACGAGUGGCGGACGGGUGACUAAUGUCUUGGCCACUGACUGAUGGAUAGGGAUCACUACUGGAAACGUUAUCUACUCCCGCAUACCAUCGCCUUUGCCCAGUUGGGAUUAGCUAGUCGUUGGGGUAACGGCUCACCAAGGCGACGAUCCCUUGCUGGUCUGAGAGGAUGACCAGCCACACUGGAACUGAGACACGGUCCAGACUCCUACGGGAGGCAGCAGUGGGGAAUAUUGCACAAUGGGCGCAAGCCUGAUGCAGCCAUGCCGCGUGUAUGAAGAAGGACUUCGGGUUGUAAAGUACUUUCAGUAGGGAGGCGUUACCAACAGAAGAAGCACCGGCUAACUCCGUGCCAGCAGCAGCGGUAAUAC